Molecule: ribosomal RNA, 497 nt
Filed under: uncultured bacterium
Lineage: Bacteria
Description: partial 16S ribosomal RNA
Rfam family: Bacterial small subunit ribosomal RNA
Source: RNAcentral
GAUGAACGCUGGCGGCGUGCCUAAUACAUGCAAGUCGAGCGAACAGACGAGGAGCUUGCUCCUCUGACGUUAGCGGCGGACGGGUGAGUAACACGUGGAUAACCUACCUAUAAGACUGGGAUAACUUCGGGAAACCGGAGCUAAUACCGGAUAAUAUAUUGAACCGCAUGGUUCAAUAGUGAAAGACGGUUUUGCUGUCACUUAUAGAUGGAUCCGCGCCGCAUUAGCUAGUUGGUAAGGUAACGGCUUACCAAGGCAACGAUGCGUAGCCGACCUGAGAGGGUGAUCGGCCACACUGGAACUGAGACACGGCCCAGACUCCUACGGGAGGCAGCAGUAGGGAAUCUUCCGCAAUGGGCGAAAGCCUGACGGAGCAACGCCGCGUGAGUGAUGAAGGGCUUCGGAUCGUAAAACUCUGUUAGUAGGGAAGAACAAAUGUGUAAGUAACUAUGCACGUCUUGACGGUACCUAAUCAGAAAGCCACGGCUAACUACGUG